GGCGCCGUAGUUUAGUGGUUAGAGCGUUAAGGUCCUAUAUUAAAUAACCGUACGGUAUCUUUAAAUUAUAUUUAAUAGUAUACUCCCCGGAUUAUCUUUAAUAGCUAUCUUUAAAAGUCGUAGGUUCGAAUCCCAUCGGCGCUA
This is a non-coding RNA of Sordaria brevicollis, 144 nucleotides long. Lineage: Eukaryota; Fungi; Ascomycota; Sordariomycetes; Sordariales; Sordariaceae. The record is from the annotation of a GenBank genome assembly.